RNAcentral lists this unclassified non-coding RNA (930 nucleotides) under Leishmania donovani. Its description in RNAcentral is "gene:unknown". Lineage: Eukaryota; Euglenozoa; Kinetoplastea; Trypanosomatida; Trypanosomatidae. The record is from RNAcentral.
CGAACCUCUUUUCUUGUUUUUUUGGUUGUUUAUGUUUUUUUUCUCAUUCUCCUUUCUCCCUCUCGAGGAGGAGAGAGGCCUCACUGUGGGUGGGGAAGCCGAGCAGCCUCCUCCUCCCUCCCUCCCUAUCCCAGCCACUGCCGAACCACCCCUGGUGGUGACAGGGCCAGGGUGCCUAGGACGUGGGGAGGUCAGUGCGAUGCAGUGGCACGGAUGCCGGCGGCCAAUCCCUGGACGGCGUGGCGCCGGUGCGACCCGCGACCGUGAGCGUGCUUGCGCCAUCCAUGCGAUGGGCAAGGCGUCAGCGUGAUACCAACGCGUCUCGCUCGGCCCUCGCACUGCCUGCUGCUGGGGAGGCUGAGUGCCACCCUGCGAGGCGGGUGGGUGGGUAGAGUUUGGGUCAGGGGCCGUGCACAGAUGACUGGGUCGGCGCACUGCUGUGAUGCGUGUCUGCGGCUGCGUUGCACCGCGCGCUGGGUGCCUGUGGCAGACCCGGUAGAGUGGAGCUUAGCGCAUGUUGUGUGGCGCAGGAAUGGACACGUGGAAGCAAAACGCAAAAUGGUUUAUAAUGUGCGGACAUGUGCGCGUUCGCUUCCGCCGGACCCCUUUUUUUUGCCGGUGCAUGUGCACACGCAGAGGCAUGCGGACGCGCCGGCGGCAAAGUCUGAGACGUGCCAGGGCACCACACUAUUAUGUGAUUCCCCCUUGUGAUUUAUGCGCGUGUGCGUGGGUGUGGGGGUGCGCGUGCCCGACUCCUCCUCACUCUGCCGCUCCUCCUCGUUGCUACAUUGCUCGCUCUCUUCGGACCUUCCGUUUUGUUUUGCUCCUGCCUUCCUUGCAUGGGCUCCCGUCCUCUGCGUCCGCGUGUUCCCACUGCACGUUGGGCUCUCUGUUGUUUGAGCCAUCUCGCUCACCUCUCUCUUGUUCCAG